UACGUAGGGUGCGAGCGUUGUCCGGAAUUAUUGGGCGUAAAGAGCUCGUAGGCGGCUUGUCGCGUCGGAUGUGAAAGCCCGGGGCUUAACUUCGGGUCUGCAUUCGAUACGGGCAGGCUAGAGUUCGGUAGGGGAGAUCGGAAUUCUCGGUGUAGCGGUGAAAUGCGUAGAUAUCGAGAGGAACACCUGCGGCGAAGGCGGGUUGCUGGGCCGACACUGACGCUGAUGCGCGAAAGCCAGGGGAGCGAACGGG
Molecule: ribosomal RNA, 253 nt
Filed under: uncultured bacterium
Lineage: Bacteria
Description: partial 16S ribosomal RNA
Rfam family: Bacterial small subunit ribosomal RNA
Source: RNAcentral